CCAAAUGCGUUGAAGAGAAGAGUAAAUACAUCGGAUUUUGUAACAGAGAGCUCCGGCAGCUGAAAAGGAGUACGGAAUCAUGUAUUGAACCAAGACUCUGAGCAUCACAUCGGACCUAGUAUUGCGGGAUGGUGUGACAGGGGCUCCUGUUAUCGAGCUAGAGUAUAAACACCGGGUUGUACCCGAUGUCGUACUUGAAGAGGUUAAUAUGGCGACAUAUUAACGAAUCUGAGGUGGUACCGCGAAAUCCAAAUCUCGUCCUCAAG
RNAcentral lists this non-coding RNA (266 nucleotides) under Paenibacillus selenitireducens. RNAcentral describes it as "T-box sequence". It matches the Rfam family "T-box leader". Rfam says of the family: Uncharged tRNA acts as the effector for transcription antitermination of genes in the T-box leader family. T-boxes are found upstream of many aminoacyl-tRNA synthetase genes and some amino acid biosynthetic genes usually in Gram-positive bacteria. Lineage: Bacteria; Bacillati; Bacillota; Bacilli; Caryophanales; Paenibacillaceae. The record is from RNAcentral.